Molecule: long non-coding RNA, 293 nt
Filed under: Capsicum annuum
Lineage: Eukaryota; Viridiplantae; Streptophyta; Magnoliopsida; Solanales; Solanaceae
Description: long non-coding RNA (CANN_LNC015477)
Source: RNAcentral
UUUGAUGGAGCUGCUGCCACUUAACUCGGCCAAAUAUCCUACUUCCUUCUUCAACUUCGACCAUGGAAAACAAUCUGAUCUUACCACAUAAAAAGUGAACCUCAUCUAAAAAAAUAGUUAAAGAACAGGUCAGUGUACUAGAACUUUUGUUGUGGGCAUGAUUCGAAAAUAAAUAGUUUAAUAACUAAAAUAAAAACUUUACAGAAUGUUAUAUAAUAAAUUCAAGAGGAGAGAAGAACUACCGAAAAGUACACAAUUUCUCUCUAAAGAAUUUCAAACAAAGAUAAUUUGAG